This 497-nucleotide ribosomal RNA is filed under the name uncultured bacterium. RNAcentral's name for it is "partial 16S ribosomal RNA". It matches the Rfam family "Bacterial small subunit ribosomal RNA", at positions 28 to 507 of the family's 1533-position model. The record is from RNAcentral.
GACGAACGCUGGCGGCGUGCCUAAUACAUGCAAGUUGAGCGCUGAAGGCUGGUACUUGUACCAACUGGAUGAGCAGCGAACGGGUGAGUAACGCGUGGUGAAUCUGCCUUUGAGCGGGGGACAACAUUUGGAAACGAAUGCUAAUACCGCAUAAAAACUUUAAACACAAGUUUUAAGUUUGAAAGAUGCAAUUGCAUCACUCAAAGAUGAUCCCGCGUUGUAUUAGCUAGUUGGUGAGGUAAAGGCUCACCAAGGCGAUGAUACAUAGCCGACCUGAGAGGGUGAUCGGCCACAUUGGGACUGAGACACGGCCCAAACUCCUACGGGAGGCAGCAGUAGGGAAUCUUCGGCAAUGGACGAAAGUCUGACCGAGCAACGCCGCGUGAGUGAAGAAGGUUUUCGGAUCGUAAAACUCUGUUGGUAGAGAAGAAAGUUGGUGAGAGUGGAAAGCUCAUCAAGUGACGGUAACUACCCAGAAAGGGACGGCUAACUACGUG